GCCUCUGUGGCUUAGUGGUAGAGCUAUUGAUUCGUAAUCAAUUGAUUUUUUAAUUCAAUCAAUCAGGUGAUUCGGUCGGGGGUUCAAUUCCCCCCAGAGGCU
RNAcentral lists this transfer RNA (102 nucleotides) under Promethearchaeota archaeon. RNAcentral describes it as "Candidatus Lokiarchaeota archaeon (permafrost metagenome) tRNA-Thr". It matches the Rfam family "tRNA". Rfam says of the family: Transfer RNA (tRNA) molecules are approximately 80 nucleotides in length. Their secondary structure includes four short double-helical elements and three loops (D, anti-codon, and T loops). Lineage: Archaea; Promethearchaeati; Promethearchaeota. The record is from RNAcentral.